This 253-nucleotide ribosomal RNA is filed under the name uncultured bacterium. Its description in RNAcentral is "partial 16S ribosomal RNA". It matches the Rfam family "Bacterial small subunit ribosomal RNA", at positions 524 to 776 of the family's 1533-position model. The record is from RNAcentral.
UACGUAGGUGGCAAGCGUUGUCCGGAUUUCCUGGGCGUAAAGAGCGCGCAGGCGGUCGUCCAAGUCGCGUGUGAAAGCCCCCGGCUCAACUGGGGAGGGUCACGCGAUACUGGUCGACUCGAAGGCAGGAGAGGGUAGUGGAAUUCCCGGUGUAGUGGUGAAAUGCGUAGAUAUCGGGAGGAACACCAGUGGCGAAGGCGACUACCUGGCCUGUUCUUGACGCUGAGGCGCGAAAGCUAGGGGAGCAAACGGG